Molecule: long non-coding RNA, 3266 nt
Filed under: Homo sapiens (human)
Lineage: Eukaryota; Metazoa; Chordata; Mammalia; Primates; Hominidae
Description: NR2F1 regulatory antisense RNA 1, transcript variant 40 (NR2F1-AS1)
Source: RNAcentral
ACUCGCACACACAGUCGCUCACCCGCGCCGGGCGCCCGCCCGCCGGCCGCUCGGGCUACGCGCAGCGCGCGGGCUGAGCCGACAUAGAGGAAGCCGGCGAGGGCGGAGGCGGCGGCGGCGGCGGAGGAGGAGGAGGUCGCGGCUGCAGGCGCCGCUGGAGCUGCCGCCGGAGCUGCUGCGGCGAGCGCCGCUGGAGGAGCCGGGACCCGGGCCGGAGUCCGAGCAGGAGUCGGGGCCGCAGCCGGAGCGCGAGCGGAGGCCGGGGCCGCCCGCGGCGCCGCCGCUGUCCCGGCGGGAGCCCUCGCCGGGCUCGGGAGUGCGGGGAGCGCGGUGAGCCGAGCAGGGCGCUGGGCGAGGCUGCCGCCGGCGAUCAGGGCGCGCGGGUGUCGGGGGGCCAGGUCCAGGGCCGGACGCAGCCAGCCAUUCAGGAAGGCAGCGCUGGAGAGCGGGAGGCAGCCGGCGAGGAAGAUCACACACUUUGCUCUUUUUGUUGUGCCGGUGGCGCCGGGCUCUCGCUGCCUUCUUCUUUCGGGAGGUGACGGAAGGGGGAGAAAAAUACGGGAUAAUUCACGCCGGCGACGAAAUCACAGCGAAAUAGAAAAAAUAAAAAUCAGAAGAAAAUAAUUGCCAAAAAAAGGAAAAAGGAAAAGCGAGAGAGACAUCCAAACAGGUAGAUGAAACUCAAGAGAAAAGGUGUGGAUAAAUGAAACUAGCCCAUGAUGAACCUGUUUUCUCCGUGACCACAAUAUUAACCAGGAUGAAUGGCGGUGGCAGUGGGCCUGCAUCACAGGUUGCAGCAGAUGUUCUCAAUAUUUCUAUUAAAAUUUCCUUAUUUCCAUAUGCAAGAGGAGCCCCAGAGCUGCAUCCUUAUGGUAGCUACCAUGCCGUGAUGUAAGCUGCCAUUCACUGGGGAGCUUUGGCAAUAGAAUUGGCUAGAUCAGGAAGCCUAUGUCAACUAUGGAACAACAACUUGCAGCUCAUCUCUAUUGAUGAUGGAAUCUCGCUAUGUCACCAGGCUGGAGUGCAGUGGCGCAACCUCGGCUCAGCGCAACAUCCGCCUCCCGGGUUCAAGUGAUUCUCCUACCUCAGCCUCCUGAGUAGCUGGGAUUACAGGAAUCUAAUGACCAUUGAACUGUGGCCAUGACUUCAAUUACAAGUAUUUUCUUCACUAAUGUCAGACUGUGGGCCUUUGUAUAUACACUUUUAACAAACUUUUUGGAAGUGCAAUACAUAUCGCAACAACUUCUCAAUGCUGAAUCAUAGUAUUGGAAGACAUUUUAAGCAACAAUUAAACUCAACUUAUUUACUACCAAUAAUGUACAUAAGUCAGCUGAAGUGAGGAUAACAUGAAUAGCACAAAUACAUUAUGAUUGCUGCCUGGCCAACAGUAAUUAUAAGAAACUGUCAGUUUUGAGAUGUGUCUUGAUUUCAGAGAUGUUAAAAAAGUUUGUAAGUUACCAUUGAUAAAAUAUGAGUUUGCUUCCACAAAUAUUCUUUCUUCUGUCCUUCUGGAACUCAAGAGUAAACAUAUAUUAGAUUUUCUCACCAUUUCAUGCAUGCUGGUUCCUAGGCUACUCUCUGAGUCAUUUUUUUUUUCUUAUCUGCCCUCCAGUUCACUAGUUCUGUCAUUUUCUGGGUCUGAUCUGCUGCAAAUGCAAUACAUUGAGUUUUAAAUUUCAGUCAUUGUGUUUUCAUUUCUAGAAAUUUCAUUUGACUCUUUCUCAAAUUACUUUUCCAUUUUUUUUGUAGUUUCCUAUCCCUGGAGAUAUUUUCAAUCAUGCCAUUUAAUUUUUUAAAUACGCAAGUGUAGUUUUAUAAUUUGUGUCUGAUAAUUCUAAUAUCUGAAGUCUUAGUAGGUCUGUUUCAGUUGUCCUGUAAUUAUGCAUGUUUUUGCCCAUGUUGCUUUGUUUCCUUGUAUGCUUGGUUAUCUUUCUUACUGCCCUUGCAAAAUUAUUUGGAGAGUCCUGGAGGCUUAAAUGAAGAUAACUUUUAGGAAUAAUUUGCAUUUGCUUUUGCCGAGGAUCUUGGGAUCAUUUCAACCAAAAUCUUAGCUUGAAAUUCCGCAAUCAAUCAAGGUGAUGAGAACCUGGUCAGUAAAUCCUAAUGAGGGCCAGGCUGUGGCCAAAGAUUUUUAGACAGAUGUUUCCCUCCUUUGCCAUUUCUCUUUUCUUUCCUCCUCUGCUCCUCUUAGUGUCCAGACAACCUUCAUGGAAGUCCUUGGGGUGGGUGGGAAAUGAGGACGGCAGGUUUCAUUCUAGGUAUAGCCCUUUGAGGUCUAACUUAAUGCAGAGAGAGUUUUCUGGUCUAUGUGCCACCUUACAUGGGAUCUUGAGCCUUGAUUUCUAAACCCCUUGCCUUUGAUGUUUCAGAAUUGAAGCUUAAAUUUGCCAACAGGCAAAUGUCCUCAAGGCAAAUUGGCUUAGGUGUUCGAUAUUCUUCUUACCAGAAAGGUAAACUUGGGUUUUUUACUUCACCCAGGAUUUGGCAUGACAGUUCCCCAUUAUCUUGUCAGCUUAGUGCUUUAAGUGAUUGCAUUUAAAAAAAUUCUGCAUUUUCAGUUUUUAGCAGGAGGAAUGGCCUCAACUAGUGGUUUUCAACUGGGGAUGAUUUUUUUCCCCUAGGGGACAUUUGAUAAUGUUUGGAGAUGUUUUAGUUGUUAGAACUGGGGUUGGGGGAACUACUGUCAUCUGGUGGGGAGAGACCGGCAAUGCUGUUGAUCUUACUAUAAUGCACAGGCCACCCCCAACAACAAACAAAUUACAUAGCCCCAAAUAUCAAUAAUGCCAAGGUCCAAAUAACCUAACCUUCCAUUACUGAAAAUAGAAGUUCAAGAAGAUAGUUUAUAAUUUAAAAAUUUUUAGGUCUUAAUAAGUUGUCAUACUUUCACAGGUUUUAUUUCAUACUAAGUAAUUUAUUUCAAAUUUUACAUUCCAAUUACAGAAAAUUUUCUAAGCCAGUUUUUGUUCUUCAUGAGUAUUACUAUCAAGGUCACAUUUUUCAUCUAGUAUGUUUUACCCUGGUACUUGUUGGCAGGGUCAGGACUAAGGUGAGAUGCGCAAGGCAUUUGCCUCACACAAAAUGCACAAUGAAUAAAAUGUCAAAACUUUAAAUAAAGACAGAAUCACUAAAAGUACUUUGCCAUAUUGGAACCUGAGGCAAAAAGAAAAAUAAGUAAUAAUAUUUAAAAUUUUGAUCUCUUGUUCAUUGUAGAUUUUUACAUUAAUUUUGAUUGUUUAAAACAUUGCAUUAAAAUAUUAUUUAAUGUG